GCUAAAUACCGGCCAGAGACCGAUAGCGCACAAGUAGAGUGAUCGAAAGAUGAAAAGCACUUUGGAAAGAGAGUCAAACAGUACGUGAAAUUGUUGAAAGGGAAGCGCUGGCAACCAGACCUGUCCGCGGGCUUCAGCCCUCGUUCUCGAGGGUGUACUUGUCCGCGAUCAGGCCAGCAUCGGUUCGGGCGGUUGGAUAAAGGCCUUGGGAAUGUAGCUUCCCCCGGGAAGUCUUAUAGCCCUYGGCGCAAUGCGRCCAGCCCGGACCGAGGACCGCGCUUCGGCUAGGAUGCUGGCGUAAUGGUUGUCAGCGACCCGUCUUGAAACACGGACCAAGGAGUUGACCACUUAUGCGAGUGUUUGGGUGUCAAACCCAUACGCGUAAUGAAAGUGAACGGAGGUGAGAACCCUUAAGGGCGCAUCAUCGACCGAUCCAGAUGUCUUCGGAUGGAUUUGAGUACGAGCAUAAUUGGUCUGACCCGAAAGAUGGUGAACUAUACUUGAAUAGGGUGAAGCCAGAGGAAACUCUGGUGGAGGCUCGCAGCGGUUCUGACGUGCAAAUCGAUCGUCAAAUUUGGGUAUAGGGGCGAAAGACUAAUCGAACCAUUCUCGWWCGCUACUAGGUGGUUAAUCAGGGKCSGYCCGGRGCGUAUCCCUGGGCGCGAACCCUCAGUCCUUCGGGGCGACAYUACCAUCUUGCAUGGACGUCCCGGCGG
This 716-nucleotide ribosomal RNA is filed under the name Lecidella euphorea. RNAcentral describes it as "eukaryotic LSU rRNA". It matches the Rfam family "Eukaryotic large subunit ribosomal RNA", at positions 315 to 1400 of the family's 3401-position model. Lineage: Eukaryota; Fungi; Ascomycota; Lecanoromycetes; Lecanorales; Lecanoraceae. The record is from RNAcentral.